This 610-nucleotide long non-coding RNA is filed under the name Brassica napus (rape). RNAcentral describes it as "long non-coding RNA (BNAP_LNC004443)". The record is from RNAcentral. Lineage: Eukaryota; Viridiplantae; Streptophyta; Magnoliopsida; Brassicales; Brassicaceae.
UAUAUUAAGAUUGUUGAAAGUACCUUUUGUUUCUGGAUAUUUUUUUUCCAGUUUAAUUGUGUAAGUUGUGUGUAUUAAGUAAUAAUUUUUAUUAUUCUUAUUAUGUUUUUUAUAUGUUUUUUUAGUUUUAAACUUGUUGCUUUUACCGGACAUCUAAACCAAAUAUGUGAAGACUUGUAGAAAUAACUAUAAAAUGAGUGAUAAUUUUGAAUAUUUAGGUCUUAAUGGGUUUUAAACGAAUUUAUGUAUUUCUCAUAAGAAGACAAUAGCAUUGGCCUGUUGACAUUGGGCAUGUAAGCUAUUUUCAUAAGACAAGAGGAGUAAGUAGGUGGAGAUGUUGUUGCCGCUUUUGUGUAUGUCGGGAUUGUCUCUUGUAUCUCCUGGUGUGGUUGUGGUUGUUUCUCUUUUAUUUGAUGUGUAAUAUGUAAACAAAAAUCAUUGUUAGUUGUAUUUAUCAGAGUUCGUAACUUACUUUAAUUUUUUGUUUAGGUAAUUUCACUCAUUUUGGUUGUCGUCUUCAUCAUCUUCGUAAGCAUCUGCGAAAGUAAGUUUGUAAAUUGUUAAAUAUCUAGACGUGUAGUUUGUAUUUUUUAUGCUGACUCAAUGUAUU